CUCCAGGCUGCUGGAAGCUGGAACCCAAGGUGUUAGUGCGGAGUUAACGGAGCAGCCCCUGGGGCCAGAUUUAGUGGUUGAGCUCUGACCCCAGAUGGCAGUGUGGAUGCAGGCACAGGGCCAUGCUGCCUCUGGGAUUCCUGCCCUGGGUUCUGAGUGUUUGCACGGGGCUCCCUGCUCCUGAUGCCAGCUUCAGCCCCUCGGUCCCCAGGGCAGUGCUGCGCCCCUAACUCAGGUCAGACAGGUUUGGGCUCAAGGCCUGGAUGUUCCAUUUAUUACUUGUGUGACCUUGGGCAAGGAUUUAAUGUUGCUGUCCUGAGGGUUCUGAUGGCUAAUUGGGGUUCCCCACCCCGUUAGGGCCCUGCACUCCCAGCUGGGCUCUGGGAGGCAGGGCUAGUUCUCCUGUCUUCACCUCCCUGCAGGGUCCUGUGCGCCCCCUGCCCCAGGCCUUGACCUGCCUGCUCCAGGGGCCCUCGGGCCACAGUGCUUCCAGAAACUCUGAUCCAAAGUGCCCCUUGGCCUCCUGGCUGGGGUCCAUCUCAGACAGAGGUGAGGCCGGGCCAGGCUCCAGUGGAACUCAAGUUUCUUGCUGGGGCUCGUGAAAGGGCUUGGUUAAGGAGCCUGGGCUGUUUGGGUUCUGAUCCUUGGGAGUACUGGCUUUGAACAGUUGGGGAUUUCUUUCCAGCCACUUUUUUCUGUCUUUACCACAUUUACAUACCCACACAUAAAAAUUUUUAAAUAGAACAGGAUCAGAUUGCAUAUAAUUGGCCUGUUAUUUUUCUAUCCAUGCCCAGCAAUCUGUCUUUCUGACAUUCGACAGCUUUCUCUAUUAGUGUUCAAUGUGGACACUUCUUGCAACUUUUUUAAACUGGGGGAAUAUUCACAUGUGUAUAUAUAUAUGAAUGUAUGUAUGUAUUUUUCUGCAUGGACAGUUGGGAAGCUUACUGGGGUUUGCUUUUGUUUUAUUAUUUAGUAAACUUUUUCUUCAACUAUAGUUAAAUGUACGAUUCAAGACAUUCUCACAAAUCAGUGCUCCUGGAUAACCCACACCUGGCUCAAGAAACUGCUCCUCGCCAUACUCCCAGAGCCCCGGUGCUUCCUGCCUGUCCCCAUGCAGGGCUACCACUGCUGUGACUUCUAGCAGCUUGGCUGAGUUUGCCUUUUUUUUGAACACUGUGUAAACAGAAUCAUACUCUAAGAUCAACAUUCUGUUUAUGAGUUUCAUAAUGUGGCAAUGUUUGUUUAUUCUAAUUCUGUACAGUAUUCCACUAUGUGAUCCCGUAGCCAUUUAUCUGUCCUAUUGAUGGAAAUUUGGGUCACUUCCAAUGUUUUGCUAUUACAAACAAUAGUGCAAAAACCAUCUUUGUGUGUAAAUAGAUCUGUGUAUCUGCA
Molecule: long non-coding RNA, 1392 nt
Filed under: Marmota monax (woodchuck)
Lineage: Eukaryota; Metazoa; Chordata; Mammalia; Rodentia; Sciuridae
Source: RNAcentral